UGGGGAAUUUUGGACAAUGGGCGCAAGCCUGAUCCAGCCAUGCCGCGUGCGGGAAGAAGGCCUUCGGGUUGUAAACCGCUUUUGUCAGGGAAGAAAUCUUCUGAGUUAAUACCUCGGGAGGAUGACGGUACCUGAAGAAUAAGCACCGGCUAACUACGUGCCAGCAGCCGCGGUAAUACGUAGGGUGCAAGCGUUAAUCGGAAUUACUGGGCGUAAAGCGUGCGCAGGCGGUUUUGUAAGACAGAGGUGAAAUCCCCGGGCUCAACCUGGGAACUGCCUUUGUGACUGCAAGGCUUGAGUGCGGCAGAGGGGGAUGGAAUUCCGCGUGUAGCAGUGAAAUGCGUAGAUAUGCGGAGGAACACCGAUGGCGAAGGCAAUCCCCUGGGCCUGCACUGACGCUCAUGCACGAAAGCGUGGGGAGCAAACAGGAUUAGAUAGCCCUGGUAGUCCACGCCCUAAACGAUGUCAACUGGUUGUUGGGAAGGUUCCUUCUCAGUAACGUAGCUAACGCGUGAANUUGACCGCCUGGGGAGUACGGCCGCAAGGUUGAAAC
This 553-nucleotide ribosomal RNA is filed under the name uncultured bacterium. Its description in RNAcentral is "partial 16S ribosomal RNA". It matches the Rfam family "Bacterial small subunit ribosomal RNA", at positions 355 to 900 of the family's 1533-position model. The record is from RNAcentral.